This 356-nucleotide long non-coding RNA is filed under the name Setaria viridis. RNAcentral's name for it is "long non-coding RNA (SVIR_LNC007884)". Lineage: Eukaryota; Viridiplantae; Streptophyta; Magnoliopsida; Poales; Poaceae. The record is from RNAcentral.
GUAUGAAUCAAUGUGCUCAUGAAAGGCAAACUUCCAUGGAAUUACUCCUUUGCCUCUGCAACGUCCAGGGAAUUCGGAUUACCAAGAGCCAUAGUCAGCUCAUCCUUCUUCGAUCAAGCACGAAAGAUCCAUCGGCCAUUGCCUUUAUUAAGUCAACAAGCCUUGUAGCCGCUUCUCUUAAUUCUUGGCCAAACACAAAUGAUCCAUCUUUGGGAUUGAGCGUGCCGCCAUGAGCAUAAUACCAAUUUUUUGCUCGCUCCGACCAUUCGAAAGUCUGCAGUACUAUUCCCUCGGCAAUUAUAUCAUCUUCCAUCCUCUGCCAUUUCAUGAUCCCCUUCUUGUAACCUCCUGGCCCA